Peromyscus maniculatus bairdii (prairie deer mouse) is the source of this 237-nucleotide non-coding RNA. Lineage: Eukaryota; Metazoa; Chordata; Mammalia; Rodentia; Cricetidae. The record is from RefSeq and is a predicted model, not a curated record.
CCCUCAUGGCAAUGCUGGCUGACAGCAUGACUGAGUCCUAUCACUGCUGUUUUAGAGAGGUGUUCCGGAUGCAUUAUACGGAAAGGCCAGACAGCUCAGUGGGCGAAGGAGCUUGCAGCCAAGGCUGAGGACCUGACAGUGAUCCCAGGAGCCCACAUGGUAGAAGAGAACCUCCUCCUGCAAGCUACCCUCUGACCUCCACACAUACCCUAAAAUAAAGAAGUGUUGAAAGUGUAA